GACUUCGUAGCUCAGCUGGUAGGGCGCUUACCACGUUGAGGCAUGCCUUCACUGUCGCUGGUUCGAAUCCAGCCGAAGUCC
This 81-nucleotide transfer RNA is filed under the name Paragonimus westermani. RNAcentral describes it as "tRNA-Asn". It matches the Rfam family "tRNA". Rfam says of the family: Transfer RNA (tRNA) molecules are approximately 80 nucleotides in length. Their secondary structure includes four short double-helical elements and three loops (D, anti-codon, and T loops). Lineage: Eukaryota; Metazoa; Platyhelminthes; Trematoda; Plagiorchiida; Troglotrematidae. The record is from RNAcentral.